RNAcentral lists this ribosomal RNA (253 nucleotides) under uncultured bacterium. RNAcentral describes it as "partial 16S ribosomal RNA". It matches the Rfam family "Bacterial small subunit ribosomal RNA", at positions 524 to 776 of the family's 1533-position model. The record is from RNAcentral.
GACAGAGGUGCCAAGCGUUAGGCGGAAUCACUGGGCUUAAAGCGCGUGUAGGUGGCGGCCUAAGUACCUUGUGAAAUCCUGCGGCUCAACCGCAGAACUGCUUGGUAUACUGGGUCGCUUGAGCCAUCCAGGGGCAACUGGAACAAGCGGUGGGGCGGUGAAAUGCGUAGAUAUCGCUUGGAACGCCAAAGGUGAAAACAGGUUGCUGGGGAUGAGCUGACACUGAGACGCGAAAGCCAGGGGAGCGAACGGG